GACGGAGGGGGCUAGCGUUGUUCGGAAUGACUGGGCGUAAAGGGCGCGUAGGCGGUUUUUUUAAGUGAGGCGUGAAAGCCCUGGGCUUAACCCAGGAGGUGCGUUUCAUACUGGAAAGCUUGAGUACGAGAGAGGAAAGUGGAAUUCCUAGUGUAGAGGUGAAAUUCGUAGAUAUUAGGAAGAACACCAGUGGCGAAGGCGCUUUCUGGCUCGUAACUGACGCUGAGGCGCGAAAGCGUGGGGAGCAAACAGG
RNAcentral lists this ribosomal RNA (253 nucleotides) under uncultured bacterium. RNAcentral's name for it is "partial 16S ribosomal RNA". It matches the Rfam family "Bacterial small subunit ribosomal RNA", at positions 524 to 776 of the family's 1533-position model. The record is from RNAcentral.